ACAGAUAGUAGUGGAGCUAUAUAGAAUAGAUAUUAGUUUGUUUCUAUAAGAUAUUGGUAAAAUAGACUAAUAGUCCAUAGAAUAAUCAGUUCAAGAGGACAGAUGGUUAACUUAGUUAUUAAAAGUGAUUAAUUACAACAUUAUGAUUAGAAUCUGGGAAUAGGGAGUAAGUAUAUAGGAGUUGUAGAAGUUAGUGUGAGUGUUAGACUGUGAUAGUUAUGAGCUGGGGUUAAGUUUGAUACUACCUCUUUGUUUCUUUGUUGUUGAAAAGUAAUGGAUAGUUUUUGAAUAUUGAGAAGUGAGUCUGUAGAAUAAAUCAAAGAUUGAUUUAUGAGUUAUUGAUUAUGUAAUUGGAGCACUGAGUGAUUGAAUUAUAUGAGGAGUUAUUGAAAGAUUAUGAUUGUUGUUUAUUGAGAGUUGUAUGUGUUUCGAGAGAGGAAGUUUGUGAUUAGAAAAAUUAUGUGAAUCCAAAUUGAUUGGAGUGAAGUUUGUUAGUUCUGGUGUUGGAUGGAAAUUAUGUGUUUUGAGCGGUCUUUUGAGAGUGCAGGAUUGCACACUAUUAUUAUCAGUUGAUGAAGGAAUAUUGUUACUAGGAAAAAGUAU
This 603-nucleotide long non-coding RNA is filed under the name Physcomitrium patens. RNAcentral describes it as "long non-coding RNA (PPAT_LNC000447)". The record is from RNAcentral. Lineage: Eukaryota; Viridiplantae; Streptophyta; Bryopsida; Funariales; Funariaceae.